UACGUAGGUGGCAAGCGUUGUCCGGAUUUACUGGGCGUAAAGAGCUCGUAGGCGGUCUGUCACGUCGGCUGUGAAAACCCGAGGCUCAACCUCGGGCCUGCAGUCGAUACGGGCAAACUAGAGUGUUGCAGGGGAGACUGGAAUUCCUGGUGUAGCGGUGAAAUGCGCAGAUAUCAGGAGGAACACCGGUGGCGAAGGCGGGUCUCUGGGCAACAACUGACGCUGAGGAGCGAAAGCGUGGGGAGCGAACAGG
This 253-nucleotide ribosomal RNA is filed under the name uncultured bacterium. Its description in RNAcentral is "partial 16S ribosomal RNA". It matches the Rfam family "Bacterial small subunit ribosomal RNA", at positions 524 to 776 of the family's 1533-position model. The record is from RNAcentral.